GUGUUUUUUCUGAUGGUGUAAAAUAUUUUGAUUAGGGAUGUCCCAAUCACAAUUUUUCCUGCAAGUCAUUUGAUUUUGAUUUUUUUAGUGUUAUAUAUUAUUUGUACCCCUGACAGUAGAGUUAGUCACAAACCAAUAUUAAGCCCAAAAAAUAGAAAUAAUAAUAGUGAUUAAAAAAUACUGUAAUGUACCGUGAAAAUACUGUAAAAUACUGUGAUAUAUAUUUUUGGUCAUACCGCCCAGCACUAUUUAUCACUAAAGCCAAAAAUGAAAUGCAGUUCAUAAAUCUGCUAUAAACUCCUGUAUUUUUUUUUAUAUCACAAUAUAUAUUGCAAAAAUAUAUUUCCAGUAAUUUCCAGUACUGUGUUCCCAAGUUGGCAAAUUUCAGCAGUGGGUAAAUUGAUUUAUUCUCUAACGUAUCAAAAGUAAUCGGACAAAUGAUCUCAAAAGCUAUUUUAUGGACUCCAUGUGCUAUAAUCCCUUAUCAAUCUGCCAUCAGUUAAAUGAUUUGAUAGAAGACAGAAGCAAAAAGAAUGCAUUCUGACGUGUAAAGGGAUUUACUUUCUGCUCAGAUUGAACCAAAUGCAGCAAAACAUACUGCAAAAGCCAUCAAAGGUUUCUUUAAGGUAAAGUAGUGGAAUAUUGUGCUGUGGUCGAGUCAAUUACCAGAUCAAGCAUCUUUAUGUCAAUUGCUUACGGCAAAACUAAAGGCAGAAACAUCAACAACUGAAGAUGCUGCAGUAAAGACCUGACAAAUCAUCAUAAAGGAUGAAACCCAGUGUUUGGUGGUGAGGUUCAUGGGUUCCAGACUUCAGGCAGCCAUUGCCUGCAAAGUUUUCUCAAGAAAGUAUUAGAAAUAAACAUUUUAUUUAUGGUAAGUAACAAAUUAUUAAGUUAAUUUGUUCAAUUACUUUUGAGCCCCUAAAAUGAGGAGGCUUUGUAAAACAAUGGUUAGAAUUCAUAAACACUUUAUUUUAAGGAACACAAAUUAGGCACAUAUUAAUUUUAUUAUUUGCUUAAUAAAACCUUAAUUAGACAUUUAUAUAUGAUUUAUUCACUACGUAUUAGUCUUUAUUCUGUGUAAGUGUUAUUGGUGCUUAAUUAGUGGUCUGUUAUGUGGAAAUGAUUUAUAAUGGCUGUAUUAGUUCUUAUAGUGCACUAUAAACAGUUAUGUUAGCACCCUGUUAAGCAUUAACUAUUAGCUAAAUCUACAUGUUGUAAGUGUAUAAUUGGCCGCAAUUUGAUCUAUGUGAGUUUGGUAAGGUUAUGGCUGUGCUGGACUUUACUGAGUUCAUCAGGGCUUAAUAAGUCACCAAUAGACCAAGAAGUGUACCAUAUUCUAAAGUGAGGUUCUGUUCAUCACUAAUUAGACACUAAAAAGAACUGAAUAAAUAUUUUAUCAAUCAAUCCCCCUCACAAUGUAUUUAAUAAGGGGUUAAUAAGUCACUAAUAGACCAAGAAGUCUAUUUAUUCUCUAUUGAAUUCAAGCAGUUUUAUUUUCUGUUGGUUAAAGCUCUCAACUGUUAAAUUUAAAAUGUAGAUUGACUGACUGACUGGUCAAAUGUGCAGAUACCAAUAUAGCUAAAAUGGCAACUGUAACAGCAAUGGCAACAUAUGAACAUGACUUAUCAAUUAUUAUGUACCAUUUAUUACCACAUAUGUUGCAAUGUACUAUAUAUUGUACUUUAUAUUUUGAACAAUACACUUCACUAUGUAUUCAAGAAUAUAUUUUAAUAUUACUAUCAAUAAUACACAUACCAUCUAUUACCACACAUCACAAUUUAUUUUAUUAUAUAUUUAACAAUACACUUCACUAUAAAUUCAAGAAUAUAUACUACCAUAUACUACUAUAUGUAUAAUACAAAAACAGAUAAAGGUAUGCUUAAAGUUCAGAAAAACAUCAACAUUAAAGAGUUCCAUCAGUAGCACUCGUGCCGUCCCACUGGCUGUAAGCUUGUGCUUUUGCAGUCUUCCAACAACGGGCUGAGACAGUGAUGGUGCCUUCCUUCCCAGGUUUCAUCUUGUAACAAAGGAAGAAAAUGAGAAAUAAACAAACAAUGACCACCAGCAACACAAUGCUACUUAGUUACAAGUGGGUCAGAAUACUCUUAGAUUAAAAACAAGUUUCAGUAUUCGGAACCCAUUUGUAACAUGCCUAAUUUAAAGUUUAACUGUGAAAGUAAUUUACAGCUAAAUCCUUAAUACAAAAUAAAUUAGCAUAGCUAUUUCAUGGGAUGAAGUGAGAUAGCUAGAUUAGCUAAUUAAAACAUAUCUCAAAGCUAAUUUAGCUAGCUAACUAGUUAACUUAAUGCUAAAAUAGCUAAUUAUAACUUAUAAAUUAAAGCUAGGUUAGCUAGUAAUAAAUCCAAAAUUAAAGCUAGGUUAGCUAGUUAUAACCUAAAUUAAAGAUAGGUUAGCUAAUUAUAACUUAUACAUGAAUGCUAGGUUAGCUAGCAAUAAAUUAUAACUUAAAGCUAGAUUAGCUAGUUAAAUUAAAGGAAAGGUAGCUAGUUAAUUUAAAGAUAGACUAGCUAGUUAAAUUAAAGUUAGGUUAGCUAGUUAUACAUUAUAACUUAAAGCUAAGCUAGCUAGUUAAAUUAAAGCUAGGUUAGUUAGUUAAAUUAAAGCUAGGUUAGCUAGUUAAAUUAAAGCUAGGUUAGCUAGUUAAAUUAAAGCUAGGUUGGCUAGUUAAAUUAAAGCUAGGCUAGCUAGUUAAAUUAAAGCUAGGCUAGCUAACCUUAGUUAAAUUUAAGCUAAACUAGCUAGUUAAAUUAAAUAUAGGCUAGCUAGUUAAAUUAAAGCUAGGUUAGCCAGUUAAAUUAAAGCUUGGCUAGCUAGUUAAAUUAAAGUUAGGUUAGUUAGUUAAAUUUAAGCUAGGUUAGCUAGUUAAAUUAAAGCUAGGUUGGCUAGUUAAAUUAAAGCUAGGCUAGCUAGUUAAAUUAAAGCUAGGCUAGCUAGUUAAAUUUAAGCUAAACUAGCUAGUUAAAUUAAAUAUAGGCUAGCUAGUUAAAUUAAAGCUAGGUUAGCCAGUUAAAUUAAAGCUUGGCUAGCUAGUUAAAUUAAAGUUAGGUUAGUUAGUUAAAUUAAAGCUAGGUUAGCUAGUUAAAUUAAAGCUAGGUUGGCUAGUUAAAUUAAAGCUAGGCUAGCUAGUUAAAUUAAAGCUAGGCUAGCUAGUUAAAUUAAAGCUAGGCUAGCUAACCUUAGUUAAAUUUAAGCUAAACUAGCUAGUUAAAUUAAAUAUAGGCUAGCUAGUUAAAUUAAAGCUAGGUUAGCCAGUUAAAUUAAAGCUUGGCUAGCUAGUUAAAUUAAAGUUAGGUUAGUUAGUUAAAUUUAAGCUAGGUUAGCUAGUUAAAUUAAAGCUAGGUUAGCUAGUUAAAUUAAAGCUAGGUUGGCUAGUUAAAUUAAAGCUAGGCUAGCUAGUUAAAUUAAAGCUAGGUUAGUUAGUUAAAUUAAAGCUAGGUUAGCUAGUUAAAUUAAAGCUAGGUUGGCUAGUUAAAUUAAAGCUAGGCUAGUUAGUUAAAUUAAAGCUAGGCUAGCUAACCUUAGUUAAAUUAAAGCUAAGCUAGCUAGUUAAAUUAAACCUAGGUUAGCUAGUUAAAUUAAAGCUAGGUUAGCUAACCUUAGUUAAAUUAAAACUAGGCUAGCUAGUUAAAAUAAAACUAGGCUAGAUAAUUAAAUUAAAGCUAGGUUAUCUAUUUAAAUUAAAGCUAGGUUAGCUAACCUUAGUUAAAUUAAAGCUAGGCUAGCUAGUUAAAUUAAAUCUAGGCUAGCCAGUUAAAUUAGCUAAGUUAAGUUAUCUAGUUAAACUAAAGCUAAGGUAGCUAGUUAUAACUCACAACUUAAAUUGUGUAGACUAAGCAGUUUACACCUCACUAUACUAAGCAGAAGGUACACCUCACUAUAAUUUUUAAAUUGCUAAAAAAAAAAAAG
Long non-coding RNA from Astyanax mexicanus (Mexican tetra), 3930 nucleotides. RefSeq lists it as uncharacterized. Lineage: Eukaryota; Metazoa; Chordata; Actinopteri; Characiformes; Acestrorhamphidae. The transcript is spliced from 3 exons. The record is from RefSeq and is a predicted model, not a curated record.